CGCCUGCGCAAAUCAUCUUCCCAGCGUUCCUGGCGCCCCUUCUGCCCCGCUUGAAGGCCUUGCCUAUCCUCUCUGGUGGCGUGUGCUUCGUCGUGCGACCGACUCUUGCGCUCACUUGACGGGUCAUGCUUCACCUGUCUGUGCUCUGCCGCCGUGCACUCCAGGUCGGCCUGCAACCCAGCCGCCACCUCGCUCACUCAGAGCCCCGGCACCAGCGGAACGCGUCCCCUGCUGAAAUGGCUGUUGGAAUUGUGGUGUUUUUUAGCACCUUUUAAACUCCAGCUGCAUAUGUGCUAAGCAAUCUGAACCAGUUCAGAAGAUGGUAGAUGGAAGAUGUUGAGCAGCAGUUGAGGUCCAAAAAACUUUCAGAAGAAACUGUGACUUUAAAUGAGCAGAAGUGCUUAAGUUGGGUUCAUUGUGGGCAUUGAGUUUCAAAACCAUAUGUUUAUGAUAAAUAUUUUGCACUUUUUUAGUACUGUGCAUUAUAUAAAUGUGUAGUCAAAAAACACUGUUCUGUUUAAAUGUUAAAUAAAAUUGAAACACUUAUUCAUGCUCUGUAUAUGUUUGAUCACAGAUUGUUUCCUUCUUUUUUUUCUUGCAGUGCUAGGGUUGAUCCCAAGGCCUAGUGCAUGCUAGACAAGUGCUCUAUCAUGCUAGCCUGCACAGAUGAAAAUUUACUUCUGAAAAAUACAAUGAUAACUGCUAUGAGAGAUUUACUGACUUGGAGUGACAUGAAGUACUAUUUCGUGGUCAUGAAUGUAUCUAGUGUCAUAAGGGUUAGAAGAUUAGCUGUAAAGUAGUAUUCUUAAGUGUAAUGAAAUAAUUUUUAUGUCUUAUUAGUACAGCUAUUCCAUAAAAUAUUUCAUAUGUGUGUCUUUUUUUUUUUUUUUUUUUUGCUGCCUGGGGAAGGAACCCAUGGCCUCCUAUAUAGCAAGUAACUGCUAUACUACUGAGGUAUAUCCCAGCCCAAUCUCUCCUGGUGUCUCCCUUCUUCCCUCCUCUCCUCCCUUUCUUCUGAUUGAAUCAGGCUCUUCAUACUGAGCUAUAUCCCCAGCCUUUUAUUACUGCUGUUUUUUUAAAAAUUUUGAAACAAAACUUUAAAUUCCAAAUUGCCCAGGUGGGGCUCAAAUUUGUGAUCCUCCUGCCUCAGUCUUCCAGAGCACUGGGAUUAUAGGCAUGUGCUACAAUGUCUGGCUUCUUUGCUUCUUUAAAUUCCUACACUGCAUGAUUGUUAAGUACAUAUAUACUAUGUUUGUACCUCUCCUAGUUUAAUGAUUUUGUUAUCUUCUCUCAGUUGCCUUUCAGGUUUGAAGCAUCACAUGUAGGUUUGAAUGUCACCCUGGAUGACUCUCGACAGCACAGGUCAACUCUGAGUCUCAGUUUCCAUACCUCAAUAAUGGAAACUUAAAAUUGCUCUAUUGAAGGGAUGAUGUGGAGAUUAAGACAUUGAACAAAGAUAAAGCAACUCUCAGCAUAGUGCCUGAAACCAAGGGAAAUGCAAGAUUGAGUUCCUGUGAGCCUCUGGACACUUCUCAGUGCAUAAAUUAUUGUAUUAUGUAUCCAGUAUCAGGACAGUGUUCAGUCAUGAACAGGAGAUGCUCAAAUGCUGAGUGAAAGAAUGAAUGUGCAUAGCAAGAAGAACUGGUUUGGGGAAAGAUUUCAGCUGUUACCUGCACCAAAAUCAAGAGACUAACAGUGACUGAUACAAAGGUUUUGUUUUGGAAGGCAUAUGAAUAAAAGAUAAAGAAGCAAAGAAUGUAAAGGUAUUGGCAACAGAGCACUUAAAUUGUAAAUGGAAAGGAUAGCUAUGUUACAAGGAAAAAUACCAAUGUCCUCAUGGAGGGGAAUGCAGUGGAAGUCUCAAUGAUGUUGAGUAAAGGUGUG
Non-coding RNA from Heterocephalus glaber (naked mole-rat), 1884 nucleotides. The record is from RefSeq and is a predicted model, not a curated record. Lineage: Eukaryota; Metazoa; Chordata; Mammalia; Rodentia; Bathyergidae.